UACAUUGAAUUUCUCUUCUUCCUUCACUUUA
This 31-nucleotide non-coding RNA is filed under the name Rattus norvegicus (Norway rat). The record is from RNAcentral. Lineage: Eukaryota; Metazoa; Chordata; Mammalia; Rodentia; Muridae.